GAGGGUAUAGCUCAAGUGGUAGAGUGCAUGCUUAGCAUGCAUGAGGUCCUGGGUUCAAUCCCCAGGACCUCCA
This 73-nucleotide transfer RNA is filed under the name Camelus bactrianus (Bactrian camel). It matches the Rfam family "tRNA". From Rfam's summary of the family: Transfer RNA (tRNA) molecules are approximately 80 nucleotides in length. Their secondary structure includes four short double-helical elements and three loops (D, anti-codon, and T loops). Lineage: Eukaryota; Metazoa; Chordata; Mammalia; Artiodactyla; Camelidae. RNAcentral also lists the same sequence under 2 other names. The record is from Rfam by way of RNAcentral.